RNAcentral lists this ribosomal RNA (450 nucleotides) under uncultured bacterium. RNAcentral's name for it is "bacterial SSU rRNA". It matches the Rfam family "Bacterial small subunit ribosomal RNA", at positions 354 to 796 of the family's 1533-position model. The record is from RNAcentral.
GUGGGGAAUUUUGGACAAUGGGGGCAACCCUGAUCCAGCCAUGCCGCGUGCGGGAAGAAGGCCUUCGGGUUGUAAACCGCUUUUGUUCGGGAAGAAAUCCUCUGGGCUAAUACCCCGGGGGGAUGACGGUACCGGAAGAAUAAGCACCGGCUAACUACGUGCCAGCAGCCGCGGUAAUACGUAGGGUGCGAGCGUUAAUCGGAAUUACUGGGCGUAAAGCGUGCGCAGGCGGUUGUGCAAGACAGAUGUGAAAUCCCCGGGCUUAACCUGGGAACUGCAUUUGUGACUGCACGGCUAGAGUGCGGCAGAGGGGAGUGGAAUUCCGCGUGUAGCAGUGAAAUGCGUAGAUAUGCGGAGGAACACCGAUGGCGAAGGCAGCUCCCUGGGCCUGCACUGACGCUCAUGCACGAAAGCGUGGGGAGCAAACAGGAUUAGAAACCCUAGUAGUCC